GGAGCAGGAGUUAUUGUUGGCCCUAAAAGCUGAAGAUGAAUCAGGGUGCCUCAUUAGAACACAACAGAGUGGAAUAAAUGUCGCAUCCGUGAAGAGGCACUGAGUUCAAUAUCUGGUUCCUGCAUCAUUUGCCUUUUGAAUGGGAGAGAAAGGGGCAGCUUUUGCAAGGCCUGGUCCAUGUGAAAGAGGUGCCCAGAAUAAGGGUGGAGAAAGGAAGCAACUUUAUACACAACUAUGAAGCAGAGAAGAAGGUGGAAUGUGAAUUGUUCUGACGGUGUUAAAUGGUAGGACGUUAUUAAUCUGGGGAAAAUAAAGGUGACAAGUUGUAACUUUGCAUGACAUUUGAAAGCACUGCUAAAGGAGGAUGUAGCAGGCUGCCUGGAAAGUCACCAGCACUUUGAAAACAGUGGCUGCCCAAGUUCUUGACUGUGUUGUCAUACAGGUACCUCACUCAAAGGGUGGGUGCCAAACU
Molecule: long non-coding RNA, 472 nt
Filed under: Homo sapiens (human)
Lineage: Eukaryota; Metazoa; Chordata; Mammalia; Primates; Hominidae
Description: HSALNT0122310
Source: RNAcentral